RNAcentral lists this ribosomal RNA (433 nucleotides) under uncultured bacterium. RNAcentral describes it as "partial 16S ribosomal RNA". It matches the Rfam family "Bacterial small subunit ribosomal RNA", at positions 29 to 507 of the family's 1533-position model. The record is from RNAcentral.
AACGAACGCUGGCGGCAUGCCUAACACAUGCAAGUCGAACGAGACCUUCGGGUCUAGUGGCGCACGGGUGCGUAACGCGUGGGAACCUGCCCUUAGGUUCGGAAUAACUCCCCGAAAGGGGUGCUAAUACCGGAUAAUGUCUUCGGACCAAAGAUUUAUCGCCUUUGGAUGGGCCCGCGUUGGAUUAGCUAGUUGGUAGGGUAAAAGCCUACCAAGGCGACGAUCCAUAGCUGGUCUGAGAGGAUGAUCAGCCACACUGGGACUGAGACACGGCCCAGACUCCUACGGGAGGCAGCAGUGGGGAAUAUUGGACGAUGGGCGAGAGCCUGAUCCAGCAAGGCCGCGUGAGUGAUGAAGGCCAUAGGGUUGUAAAGCUCUUUUACCCGUGAUGAUAAUGACAGUACCGGGAGAAUAAGCGCCGGCUAACUCCGUG